UACGGAGGGUGCAAGCGUUAAUCGGAAUUACUGGGCGUAAAGCGCACGCAGGCGGUCUGUCAAGUCGGAUGUGAAAUCCCCGGGCUCAACCUGGGAACUGCAUUCGAAACUGGCAGGCUAGAGUCUUGUAGAGGGGGGUAGAAUUCCAGGUGUAGCGGUGAAAUGCGUAGAGAUCUGGAGGAAUACCGGUGGCGAAGGCGGCCCCCUGGACAAAGACUGACGCUCAGGUGCGAAAGCGUGGGGAGCAAACAGGAUUAGAUACCCUGGUAGGCCACGCCGUAAACGGUGUCGAUUUGGAGGUUGUGGCCUUGAGGCGUGGCUUCCGGAGCUAACGCGUUAAAUAGACCGCCUGGGGAGUACGGCCGCAAGGUUAAA
RNAcentral lists this ribosomal RNA (375 nucleotides) under uncultured bacterium. RNAcentral describes it as "bacterial SSU rRNA". It matches the Rfam family "Bacterial small subunit ribosomal RNA", at positions 524 to 898 of the family's 1533-position model. The record is from RNAcentral.